CCCAUCAGCUCCACCUAUCUCAGAUGCAUUUCACAAAGUUAGUGCAAGAACCAUGUUUUUUUUUUAUAAGUCAAAGGGAAAAAAGAACAAUAUUCUAUUGUGUCAUUCACAAUAUCAACACCAAAACAAUGUAAAUUCCAAAAUCUUCUAAAAUGUACACAGUGCAGAAUUCUAAUGUAGAUAUCCGGGAUUCCACAGAACCAAGAUGGUUUUCACCUUUAAAGUUGUGUACUAGGAAGUUCAGCUUGAUGAUUCUGAAAAAUAACAAAUAGCAUUACACUUGCAUAUCUAUAAAUGAGUAUGCUCAUAACAACAUUAACCAGUAUCGGUAUCACAAUAAUAGCCUGAACUGGUACUAAGAUUGAGGAACAAGCAAGCUGAACUUCCUAACACCUGGAGGAAGCAGAAUUCUGGUAAAAUAAAAGGAUAUGUACAUACUAUAAGCUGACAAAAGUAUUUGGCACUGUUGUUUAUUCUAUUAAUUCAUUCACAAUAUCAACACCAAAUCAAUGUAAGUUCCAAAAUCUUUGAAAAUGUACGCAGUGCAGAAUUCUAAUGUAGAUAUCUGGGAUUCCACAUGACCAUGAUGGUUUUCACCUUUAAAGUUGUGUUACUUGUGUACCAGGAAGAUCAGUUUGAUGAUUCUAAAACAUAACAAAUAGCAUUACACUUGGACAUAUUUAUAAAUGAGUAUGCUCAUAACAAUAUUAACCAGUAUCGGUAUAACAAUAAUAGCCUGAAUUGGUUCUAAGAUUGAGGAACAAACAAGCUGAACUUCCUAAAACCUUGAGGAAACAGAAUUCCGGUAAAAUAAAAGGAUAUGUACAUACUAUAAGCUGACAAAAGUAUUUACUGUUUUUUAUUUAUCUUUCAAGAUCAUUUUAACAAAUUAUUUCAGCUUAAAAAAACUACAGAUUUAUGCUAAAAACAAAGAUUCUCAAGGAAUCCAAGAUGUAUGCCCAGGCCACCUGGCUAAAGAUGUUUAGGAAGAGAAAAGCAAAAGCAAAGAGGCUAAGUUUGGAAUACUUGAUGCCCCAGAAAAAGAAAGAGAGAUAAAGCAAAGAGGCUAAGUUUGGAAUACUUGAUGCCCAGAAAAAGAAACAGAGAUAACAAACUCCCAAGUCCAGCUAAAAUGAGAGAAAUGUAGGCCAAGGAUUGAUAACAUAAACCUUUUCUAAGGUUUAGCAAACAGUGUCUGCAAAAUUUGAACUUGAAGCUUGAGAACCGUGAUCCUCGAAGUAAAAGUUGUGAGAUCCAAAAAGUGAGGAGUGGAAAUUAAAAGAAUGAGUCGUGUUAAAGCAGGAUUUCGAUCAAAAUUGGAGCUGAUGCUCAGUUGGAAUCUAGAUGAUCAAGAUAUUAAUAAAACCAAAGCUUUAUAAUGUGGGAACAAAGAACUAACAAAAAAUGUUAAAGAUAACUCAAAAUAAGAUUCACAAUGGUUUAGACCAUUUGGUGCUAGAGAAAACACAAGAUUGCCAUCCAACAUUAUUCACCAACAUAAAUAAUUGUAGCCAUGUAUAUGAUUGCACUAUGCCAACUACUACAAGCUUUGUUCAAACUUUUAUUGCCUUGAAUGGCUGCAGGAAUGUGGAAGUCAGAAUCCUUACUAUUCGAAGAGGUGCUUGGUACAGUCACACUGUUACCUACCAUUGUCCAUACAAACUAUGGGCAAAUCUGCAACCUCUAGGAUGCAGCAUGAGAGAAUAGCUACUUAAGAGGUUGAAAGACUGCUGUCCGACAUCAAAUACAAAAUUUGAACAAGCCAAGGAAUUUGAAUGGAAAAGAAUGCUUAUGAAACAAGCUAAUGUGUCUCACCAAUUGUUUGCAGAUUGCGAGGCCAAGCCCUGUUCCACCAUACUUCCGAGCAUGAUCUGCACUAGCUUGCAUAUACUUCUUGAACAAUGAAGCUGUUAGACCUUGCUUGCAUCGUUCUCGACAUCCAGGACAUUGCUCGGACACGGCAUGAAGGGAAGAACUGAAAUAUAAACAUUCCAUGAAUGUAGAAAGUGUUUGCUAAUUGAACUCCUACCUCGACAGGAACAUCGUCAGCUACAUGUCCUUCCAAUGUCAGUUCCUUCUUCAAAGAUGCAGCAGCAGUCUGGAGGACAUGUCUAACUACCUCUCUUGGUCUAAAUUUUGUAUCCUCCAACUUCAUAGCUCCUAACAGAAAGGGAAAGAGCAAAGUUAAAAUUUCGUUACGCUGAACCGAUAUUCAAUAAUUACUGAGAUUUCUUAAGUAAUGAAAAUGACUCCAUCAAAGGUCAUCACAAUGCAAUUCUCAUUUAUAACUAGGGAAUGGAUAUACAUUAACACAAAUCUGAUGGAAACUGUUCUAAAGUUGAGAUAUCAGAAAAAAUUUGGAGAAGUCCAAGAAAACUGCGGAUCUUCAGAUACUUGUUAUGAUUUUUGUUUUUUAUCUUUAGUGCAUGGUUAUGCAGGCCAUAAUUUUCUGCAACAGUUUAAUAUAUACUGAAGUCUGUCAAGUCCAAAUAUCAAUAUAAAUUUCCUUAGUCAGGUGAA
Elaeis guineensis (African oil palm) is the source of this 2520-nucleotide non-coding RNA. NCBI's taxonomy places the organism in Eukaryota, Viridiplantae, Streptophyta, Magnoliopsida, Arecales, Arecaceae. The record is from RefSeq and is a predicted model, not a curated record.